This 67-nucleotide transfer RNA is filed under the name Marmota marmota marmota (Alpine marmot). It matches the Rfam family "tRNA". Rfam says of the family: Transfer RNA (tRNA) molecules are approximately 80 nucleotides in length. Their secondary structure includes four short double-helical elements and three loops (D, anti-codon, and T loops). Lineage: Eukaryota; Metazoa; Chordata; Mammalia; Rodentia; Sciuridae. RNAcentral also lists the same sequence under 1 other name. The record is from Rfam by way of RNAcentral.
UGCAGCUCAGAGGUAGAGCACUUGCCUAGCAAGUGGGAGGCCCUGGGUUCAAUCCCCAGCACUGCAA